Molecule: ribosomal RNA, 468 nt
Filed under: uncultured bacterium
Lineage: Bacteria
Description: partial 16S ribosomal RNA
Rfam family: Bacterial small subunit ribosomal RNA
Source: RNAcentral
GACGAACGCUGGCGGCGUGCUUAACACAUGCAAGUCGAACGGAAAGGCCCUGCUUUUGUGGGGUGCUCGAGUGGCGAACGGGUGAGUAACACGUGAGUAACCUGCCCUUGACUUUGGGAUAACUUCAGGAAACUGGGGCUAAUACCGGAUAGGAGCUCCUGCUGCAUGGUGGGGGUUGGAAAGUUUCGGCGGUUGGGGAUGGACUCGCGGCUUAUCAGCUUGUUGGUGGGGUAGUGGCUUACCCAGGCUUUGACGGGUAGCCGGCCUGGGAGGGUGACCGGCCACAUUGGGACUGAGAUACGGCCCAGACUCCUACGGGAGGCAGCAGUGGGGAGUAUUGCACAAUGGGCGGAAGCCUGAUGCAGCAACGCCGCGUGCGGGAUGACGGCCUUCGGGUUGUAAACCGCUUUCGCCUGUGACGAAGCGUGAGUGACGGUAAUGGGUAAAGAAGCACCGGCUAACUACGUG